GAGGACUGCCUUGUAAGGAGUCCACUCAUCUCAUUAACCACCGAUGUGGGCCUUCUGUCAUUCUUUAACACCCCAUCUCACGCCAGUGCUUAGUAUCUGGUGCGUGGGCAAUUUCUAUUUUGGGGGUUCCAACAUCGGGUGAGACGGACUCUGCUGUGAUACCAUGUUGAAUUAGAUCUGACACAAAUCUAGCAACACUUUUGAACUCAAGAACCCACAUUCUAUAUUCAAACACAUACAUAUAUGGUUCGAC
Molecule: unclassified non-coding RNA, 253 nt
Filed under: Hevea brasiliensis (rubber tree)
Lineage: Eukaryota; Viridiplantae; Streptophyta; Magnoliopsida; Malpighiales; Euphorbiaceae
Source: RNAcentral